CGAGAUCGUGACCUGGCUGAAGUCGGACGCUUAACCGACUGCGCCACCCAGGCACCCCGAGAAAGCCUUUUCAAAUGGAAAUUUAAAUAUGACAUAGAAACCAUGGGCUUGUAGAAAAAGCAUUUAACAUGAAAGUUAGGAUUUCUGUAUUUGUGACUUUGGAUUCAAUAAAGCAGGUGGUUUUAAGCAUUUGACCUCAUUUCAAGUGGAAACAGUAUUUGUCCUAACUCUAGUUAUUCUAGCCUGUCAUGUGUCUAGCCUAAUUUCAAACUAAUUCAACCUCCACCGUAUAUCCAUAAAGUUCAUAAAUGUAUAGUAAGUGUGAAGUGUAUACUGAAUUAAGUUUUUAGUAUAGAAUGAAGUGAAUGUCCUAGAAAAGAUAUACUAUAUAACCAUAAACCAACCUUAGGAAAUAAAUCACAUGCUUCAUAAUGAAAACCGUCCUAAACUUUUUUCUGCCUAAAUUUUCUGCCUUAUUUAAAAAUUUUUUUUAUUUACUAUACUGUUUAAUACUUAUAUUAUGUAUCUAUUUGUAAAUAUGUUAUGUUGUGAUAAUAGGAUGUGAUUUCAAAAUUAUUGCUGUUUUAUUUAAAAUAAGUAACUCUCAAACAUUAAAAUAUAAUAGCAGUAAAACUUCUGAUGCUUAUUAAACUCUUAAGGGAAAAGAGAUUUCAAGCAAUUACCAAUAAUUUGUGUUAUUUUAGUUAGGCUGCAUUUUACUACUUUAGGAAUAAAUGUUAUUUUUUCUUUAGGGUACUUUUUUAUGAUUUAAAUGUUGACAAUUAGACAAAUAUUUGCAAUAUAUUAAAAGUUGUAUUAUAAGAAAGAAGAAAGAAAAUUAUAAUAAAAGUAGAUAGAUGAUAUAUUUUUUAACACAUAUCCAUGAACCCAAUACUAAAUUCUUUAACAUUUAAAAAUUAUUUCUAGAGUAAGAAAUGUUGCCACAGAGAGAAAUCUAAUAAUACUGUUACAUUUUGCUUAUAAAAAAUGGGCAUUUGGUGAAUUUAAUGUUAAUAUGAGCCCAGUACAUCACCAUCAGGCAAAAAGAAAUACGGUAUUUUUCUGAGGAGAUAAAUAUUAAGCAUUGUAUUGAUUUUUUGCACACUGACUGAAACUUUUCUGAUGAUUCAGUUCAGCUGAACUGUGUUGGGGGUGGGAAGGCACGUACAAAAUGAGAAAGAGAGGGAGGAAAAGUAAUGGUAACUAACAAUUGCUGUCAUUUAUUGAGCACCUACAGUGUUCAGGGCAUUAUGUGGACUGAUUUAUAAAUAUCGUCUCAUUUGAUCCUCAUAUUUGUAUGGGGCAGAUACUGAUUUCUCUUUAACCGCUGGAGAAGCUAAAAUCAUGCAGACCAGGCAAGUCGCCCAAAGUCCACAUCGUCACUGAAGAACAUUGAUUGGCCUUACUCCCAAACCUGUGAGUUUUUAAUUGAUACUCUGCCUCACUGUGAAAGUUUUUCAUUAAGAGAAGUAAAAUAUGGAGAGCUGGUCAUCUGUCUUUACUGUGCAUUAACCAGAACAUUCAUGGCAUAUUAUUGUUUGUAUUGGAUUUUGUAUUGUAAUAGUCAUUUUUUAAAAUGCUAGCAGCUGUUUAAAAGAGCAUGAACAGAUAGUUAUGUUGUAAGAGAAAUGGCUAAAAGAUUAGAGACAAUGUUUAACUUGGAGAAUUAGAGAUUCUACAACUUGAUAGGCUUUCAUAAUUGAAGAAUAAUUAUUUGGAAGAAGGAUUGGACUAGUCUUCAUUCCCUGAAGUGUAUAUCAAGGGCCAACAGAUUUCAACUGAUAAAAAAAUGUACAUUUUCUGUUUAGUCUCCGUGGGGAAUGGAUCCAGAAAAAAGUAAGUUUCCCCUCUCGUUGGAGGCAAGAUUUCUAUUUAUCAGGAAUGCUUCAGAAGUGAUUGAGAUAGUAAGUAGAGUAAAAUGUUUUUAAGAUGCUUCAUAACCCGGUGAUUUGAAAUUCAUGUUUGUUACAACUGACCUUUUUUUCAUGAACUGAUAAGUCGUGGUGAAGUAUUUCUGGUGACUUGCAUGCUGUCUCUAAUAUAUUUUAAAUUUCUGAACAAAAAUUGUACUUCUAAUUCUGUUACCUUGUCUUAGAAAUAAAUUUGAGAUACACAAUUUAGUAGAGGUAUUUUUAUCUGUAAUGUUUAAGAGUACUGCUAAUAUAGUAUUAAAUUUGUUUUCUAUUUUUUUAAAUCCCCUUUACAUUCGUGAAGAGAAUGUGCUUCUAUUUGAAAAGGAUGUUCCUCUUAAUGAUAAAUAGGGCAAGCACUAUCUAUAAAAUGUUUUUAAAUGCAGUAUCCACUAGGUGGUGAUAUUGUACUACAUUUCUGAGUGUUCUAGUAAUUAAACUUUCUUAAUAGGCUGAAUUUACUUUUCUUAUAGUUUUAAGUUUUGAACUGCAAAGUAAUUUAUAGUUAUCCAUGUUUAUUUAUUAUGUUGUUCAGGAUAUUUUCUAAAUUCUGUGAAGAUAAAGUAAAUGUAAAAAACAAUCAUUUUUGUGUUUUGUAAUCCUGUAUUAAGUGAUUUAGUCUAACAUAUCUUCCUGUAUGACAUUUUUUACUUCAUAUGGCAUAGACAAGAUCUUUUCCCAUAUCAGUGAAGGAUGAUGGUGAAAAAUUUGGAAACUCCUCUAUUUCAUUGUAUUGGCCAGCGUUAUAAGUGCUUUACCCGCAUUAUUUAUGCCUCAUAACAACCCUGUGAGAUCAGUACUGUUUUUAAUAUCUCCAAUCUAUACAUGAAGAAACUGAGUGUAGGGAGAUUAAAUAUUUUUCCCAAGAUUGCAAAAUAACUGGCUGAGCAGGGAUUCACAUCUAGGCAGGGUGACUCCAGAAUCCACAUUAACUGCUAUCAACUGAUUGGGGGAAGGGAGAAGACAUGGAUUCUACCCUCAAAUUCAUAGCAUUUCAGAAAGAAAAAUAAACCUGAGGAGUGUAGUUAUACUCCCUGAUUUUAUAAGUCAGGAUUGUGAGGCCCCCACUAAUUUGGCUAUCCCAGAGGCACAUAAUCUUCCAUCUGCCAUAUUACCUUCCAUUUUCUGGAGGGAAAAAACAAACCAAAAAACCCUCAGGAUUGGAGUCUUAGCCAUAGUUACACUGAAAUAAAGACCUUUGUUUCAAUUAGAUAAUUCCAGCUACCAAAGGCAGGAGCAUAGUUGUUUGAAAAUUAUUACUUAGUUUCUCUGAAGAGACUUUUAUUUGGAAGCAAAUUGUUAGUCAAACAUGAUAUACUUUGGGAAUUUUAAAAAAAUUUUGACUGGAAAACUUAAUCUUUAAAAAAAUUUAUAAAUAUAUGUUGUAUAUAGAUGCUUUUAAGUUUUAUAUUUUGUUAGAUAACUGUUCUGUAAAAUUAUAUUGUGGUUUAUGUCAUUUAAAACUGAUUUUUAAGUAAAUCUAUUUCUAAGAAUAAAAUACUUCUGUUUUCCGUUUUAAAAAGUUUGUUCAGAUAUCAUGGUUUC
RNAcentral lists this long non-coding RNA (3455 nucleotides) under Lynx pardinus (Iberian lynx). Lineage: Eukaryota; Metazoa; Chordata; Mammalia; Carnivora; Felidae. The record is from RNAcentral.